RNAcentral lists this ribosomal RNA (369 nucleotides) under uncultured organism. Its description in RNAcentral is "bacterial SSU rRNA". It matches the Rfam family "Bacterial small subunit ribosomal RNA", at positions 526 to 896 of the family's 1533-position model. The record is from RNAcentral.
CGAAGGAUGCAAGCGUUAUCCGGAUUCAUUGGGUUUAAAGGGUGCGUAGGCGGACUGAUAAGUCAGUGGUGAAAUCUCUUUGCUUAACAAAGAAACUGCCAUUGAUACUGUCGGUCUAGAGUAUAGAUGACGUUGGCGGAAUAUGACAUGUAGUGGUGAAAUACUUAGAUAUGUCAUAGAACACCGAUUGCGAAGGCAGCUAACGAAACUAUAACUGACGCUGAGGCACGAAAGUGCGGGGAUCAAACAGGAUUAGAUACCCUGGUAGUCCGCACCGUAAACGAUGAUUACUCGUUGUUGGCGAUAUGACAGUCAGCGACCAAGCGAAAGCGAUAAGUAAUCCACCUGGGGAGUACGGCGGCAACGGUG